RNAcentral lists this ribosomal RNA (478 nucleotides) under uncultured bacterium. RNAcentral's name for it is "partial 16S ribosomal RNA". It matches the Rfam family "Bacterial small subunit ribosomal RNA", at positions 28 to 507 of the family's 1533-position model. The record is from RNAcentral.
GAUGAACGCUGGCGGCGUGCUUAACACAUGCAAGUCGAACGAGAAGUGGAGACGGAAACCUUCGGGCGGAAGACUUUAUUUCGAGUGGCGGACGGGGGAGUAACGCGUGGGUAACCUGCCUCAUACAGGGGGAUAACAGUUGGAAACGACUGUUAAUACCGCAUAAGACCACAGCAACGCAUGGUGCGGGGGUAAAACCUCCGGUGGUAUGAGAUGGACCCGCGUUCGAUUAGCCAGUUGGCGGGGUAACGGCCCACCAAAGCGACGAUCGAUAGCCGAUCUGAGAGGAUGACCCGCCACAUUGGGACUGAGACACGGCCCAAACUCCUACGGGAGGCAGCAGUGGGGAAUAUUGCACAAUGGGGGAAACCCUGAUGCAGCGACGCCGCGUGAGUGAAGAAGUAUUUCGGUAUGUAAAGCUCUAUCAGCAGGGAAGAAAAUGACGGUACCUGAGUAAGAAGCCCCGGCUAACUACGUG